AACAAGGCGUACCUGCGGACCUGCGGAAGGAUCAUUAAUUAUUUCUGGGUCUAUUAAACUAUUCCCAGUUUUAUUACCUUUUACUGUGAAUUGUUAUAUAACUAUAUGACGCUUUUUUGAGGGAUGUCCAGGUGGCCAUAUUGGGUAGGUAUCUGGAAUGUUAACUUAGUCAUAGUCAAGCUUAGGCUUGGUACCCUAUUUAUUAUUAUUAUUUACCAAAAGAAUUCAGAAUUUUAAAUU
This 240-nucleotide unclassified non-coding RNA is filed under the name soil metagenome. RNAcentral describes it as "partial contains 5.8S ribosomal RNA, internal transcribed spacer 2, and large subunit ribosomal RNA". The record is from RNAcentral.